CCCCUAGAUGUUCUGGGCCGCACGCGCGCUACACUGAACAGUUCAACAAGUCUUAACCUUGGCCGAUAGGUCUGGGUAAUCUUUGAACGCUGUUCGUGAUUGGGAUAGACCUUUGCAAUUAUGGGUCUUCAACGAGGAAUUCCUAGUAAACGCAAGUCAUCAGCUUGCAUUGAUUACGUCCCUGCCCUUUGUACACACCGCCCGUCGCACCUACCGAUUGAAUGGUCCGGUGAAAUCUCGGGACGGCGGCUUGGUCGCUUGCGUCCGACUGCUGAAACUUGAUUAAACCAUUUCAUUUAGAGGAAGGUGAAGUCGUAACA
Molecule: ribosomal RNA, 320 nt
Filed under: uncultured eukaryote
Lineage: Eukaryota
Description: partial 18S ribosomal RNA
Rfam family: Eukaryotic small subunit ribosomal RNA
Source: RNAcentral